RNAcentral lists this long non-coding RNA (488 nucleotides) under Homo sapiens (human). Its description in RNAcentral is "HSALNT0357314". The record is from RNAcentral. Lineage: Eukaryota; Metazoa; Chordata; Mammalia; Primates; Hominidae.
UACUAUGCUAUGUGAAAUAAGCCAGUCACAAAAGGACACAUGCUGUGUAAUUACACUGAUAUGAGCAAACCUUUGGGAAGGUUUCCCUUGGCCCCUACAGUGUUGGCGUCACAGACAGGAUCCUAAAGCUGCUCUACUUUUCUGGAAGCCACAGUCCAGGGAACCCAGGACCUGACAAAGCAUCAGAAGGGUCUAAACUCCAAUAAAAUCCAGCUGGGUUACAUCAAUUCAGACAUCUGGAUAAAAGGAUGAAUGAAACCAUGUACAUAAUACAGAAUUAUGCAUGCCAGGAAAAAAAAUUAUACUGCCUAAAAGCUGCAACCUUCAUGACAUCAAAUCUAUUUUAACACUGGCUGGUUAUGUGAGGAAAAGGCUAAUAAAAAAAAAUUCUGGCUGACCAAAGAAGUAUGUAUGUAUGUAUGUGUAUUUAUUUUUAAAUUAAUAUUGAGAUGGAUUAAUGUUCUAAAAUUUGGAAUUUCUAACAUUAU